UUACUGGUGCUUACUGGUUCUUACUGGGAGGCACUGGUGCUGACUGGUGUUUACUGGUUCUUACUGGGAGACACUGGGGCAGACUUGGGGGGGACACUGGGAUCAAUGGGGGCAGACUGGGGUUCCCAGUGGGGUUCCUGGUGCAGACUGGGUGUUACUGGUGCUUACUGGUUCUUACUGGUUCUUACUGGGAGGUACUGGUUCUUACUGGGAGGCACUGGGACAGACUUGGGGGGGCGCACUGGGGCAGACUUGGGGGGGACACUGGGAUCAAUGGGGGCAGACUGGGGUUCCCAGUGGGGUUCCUGGUGGUGACAGGGGUGACUGGUCCUUACUGGUGCUUACUGGUUCUUACUGGGAGGUGCUGGUUUCCGCGCAGGCGCUGAGCCCCGGCCUGAGCUCGGCGGAGCUGGCUCGGAUCCUGCGGGAGCUGCUGGAGUUGUACUGCACCGACCGCGCCACUGGGGGCGCUGUGCUGCGCCCGCCCAGCCCCAGUGCGCAGCCGCGGCGCCGUCACGUGAUCCCUUCCCACCAAUAAAAGAGCGGGAGGGCGGGCCACGUGCUGACUGGGAGGCACUGGCACUGGUGCAGA
Molecule: long non-coding RNA, 592 nt
Organism: Numida meleagris (helmeted guineafowl)
Lineage: Eukaryota; Metazoa; Chordata; Aves; Galliformes; Numididae
Exons: 2
Source: RefSeq, a predicted model, not a curated record